GUGACAUACCUAUAACUGUUGCUUCGGCGGGUAGGGUCUCCGCGACCCUCCCGGCCUCCCGCCUCCGGGCGGGUCGGCGCCCGCCGGAGGAUAACCAAACUCUGAUUUAACGACGUUUCUUCUGAGUGGUACAAGCAAAUAAUCAAAACUUUUAACAACGGAUCUCUUGGUUCUGGCAUCGAUGAAGAACGCAGCGAAAUGCGAUAAGUAAUGUGAAUUGCAGAAUUCAGUGAAUCAUCGAAUCUUUGAACGCACAUUGCGCCCGCCAGCAUUCUGGCGGGCAUGCCUGUUCGAGCGUCAUUUCAACCCUCAAGCUCUGCUUGGUGUUGGGGCCCUACAGCCGAUGUAGGCCCUCAAAGGUAGUGGCGGACCCUCCCGGAGCCUCCUUUGCGUAGUAACUUUACGUCUCGCACUGGGAUCCGGAGGGACUCUUGCCGUAAAACCCCCCAAUUUUCCAAAGGUUGACCUCGGAUCAGGUAGGAAUACCCGCUGAACUUAAGCAUAUCAAUA
RNAcentral lists this ribosomal RNA (510 nucleotides) under Colletotrichum fructicola. RNAcentral describes it as "eukaryotic LSU rRNA". The stretch from base 147 to 300 matches the Rfam family "5.8S ribosomal RNA". The record is from RNAcentral. Lineage: Eukaryota; Fungi; Ascomycota; Sordariomycetes; Glomerellales; Glomerellaceae.